RNAcentral lists this ribosomal RNA (497 nucleotides) under uncultured bacterium. Its description in RNAcentral is "partial 16S ribosomal RNA". It matches the Rfam family "Bacterial small subunit ribosomal RNA", at positions 899 to 1397 of the family's 1533-position model. The record is from RNAcentral.
ACUCAAAGGAAUUGACGGGGGCCCGCACAAGCGGUGGAGCAUGUGGUUUAAUUCGAUGCAACGCGAAGAACCUUACCUACCCUUGACAUCCAUAGAAGCCAGCUUAGGGGCUGGUGUGCCGAAAGGAGCUAUGAGACAGGUGCUGCAUGGCUGUCGUCAGCUCGUGUCGUGAGAUGUUGGGUUAAGUCCCGUAACGAGCGCAACCCCUAUCCUUCGUUGCCAUGCCGCAAGGCGGAACUCGAAGGAGACUGCCGGUGACAAACCGGAGGAAGGUGGGGAUGACGUCAAGUCAUCAUGGCCUUUAUGGGUAGGGCUACACACGUGCUACAAUGGGGCGUACAGCGGGAAGCGAACCUGCGAAGGGGAGCGAAUCCUGAAAAACGUUUCGUAGUCCGGAUUGGAGUCUGCAACUCGACUCCAUGAAGUUGGAAUCGCUAGUAAUCGCGGAUCAGCAUGUCGCGGUGAAUACGUUCUCGGGCCUUGUACACACCGCCCGU